Molecule: long non-coding RNA, 21502 nt
Filed under: Homo sapiens (human)
Lineage: Eukaryota; Metazoa; Chordata; Mammalia; Primates; Hominidae
Description: non-protein coding lnc-DNAH8-2:8
Source: RNAcentral
GAGAAGGUCCUGGGCGCCUGUGGAGUGACCUCGUCCAGACCGCCGCAGACCCGAUCGGCAAGUUCUUGGAGGUGCAGGAAGGUUCUCCAAGGAGUAGGACCAGAAAGGGAUGAGAGCGCGAGCGCGGUUAAUGUCGAGGCUGCUAAGUGAUGCUCGUUAAUUUCGCAGCAGGGUGUGACUGGCCCAGCCUUGACUCUCAGUUUCCUCUCUCAGUAAAUGGGCAUAAUAAUACCGGUCCAGCCUACGCUGGAGAAUUGUGAGGUGAAAAUGAAAUAAGGUAUGCAAAGGUACUUUGUAAGUAUAAAGCCCAUUUGACUUGGUGGCUCAAGCCUGUAAUCCCAGCACUUUGGGAGGCCGAGGUGGGCGGAUCGCUUGAGCUCAGGAGUUCGACACCAGCCUGGGUAACAUAGUGAAACCCCGUCUCUACAAAAAAGACAAAAACUAAAUGGGCAUGUUGGCGCGCGCCUGUAGUCACAAAUGCUCGGGGGGCUGAGGUGGGAGGAUCGCUUGAACCUGGGGAGUUCAAGAUUGCAGUGAACCGUGAUCGCGCCGCUGCACUCCAGCCUCUGCAGUGAGAGCAAGACACUGUCUCAAAAAAAUGUAUUUAUCUAUCUACAUAGAUAAGAGUCCUAGAAAUCCGGGUGCAGGUCUGACUGUAGCUGGUGUAGGAAAGUCAGUUAUCCCCGACGCUGGAGCAAGCUAGGGGACCGCCCUUGCAGUUGUUGGAGGAGACAAAUUGGGAAGGACUUAAUUCCGGGCAAAGGAAGCUUCAUGAGUAAAAGUAGAAAGUGAAAAUGGUCAGGAAAAGCAAGGCUUGGGGCAGGGAGACCCAUUUUUAGGCCAUUGCAGUACUCCAGACAAGUGAUAAGAACAUUAAACAAGGCAUUGGCAGUGGGAAUAGAGGAGGGGAUAGAUGUUAGCGCCAUUAAGGUGGUAGAAUUCACAGCACUGAGUGCGGAUAAAUGAGUAGGCCAGGUUUCUAGCAUGAGUGCUGAGGUAGACAGUGGUAACAUUUAGCAAGAUGGCAAGCUACAUGAGUCUUGAUUAUCCACAAGUGUCUAAGUUACUAUUAUAGAUAGUGAUGGUGACAUUUCUUAGGAGGAUGACCAGAUAUGUGGAGUAUGAUGAUGAGUUCAAAUAUGGAUAUGUUUGUUAGGGAAACAUUUACUCUCCAUUCACAAUGUCUUUCUUCCAUAUGGAAUGAUAUCCAUUAGUGUAAUACUCUCCUGGUUUCUCUUAUACCUGUCUGCAACUCACUCUUGCCUAGAGGAGUGACUUCCUGAUUGGUGAACUUAAAUGGGAGAAACUGGACAUGUGGCAUCUAUCCCAUUCUUUUUCUCUUAAAAGAUAACUAUCUUCAGGGAACUGUCCUGGUGUUCUUUUCCGUUUCUUCUGGAGCAGGGCCUGUGGGUAGGGACAAGGGUGCCUAGUCCAGGGCUACAAAGAGAGUAUAUGUAUUUAAUUCCAGAGUUUGGCAUUAGGAAGCUGUCUGUCCACAGAUAAUAUUUAAUACCAGCUUUGUCAGCUGUGUUACACAGAAUAAUGAUCCCCCCCAACCAAAAAAAAAAGGAUGACCACACCCUAAUACUCAGAACCCAUGAAUAUGUUAUAUUAUGUGGCAAAAGGGACUUUGCAGAUAUGAUUAAAUGAUGUAUCUAGGGAGAUUAUCCUGGAUUGUCUGACUGGGCUGGAGGCAGGAGGGUCAGAGUCAGAGAAGGAGAUGUGAUGAUGGAAGCAGAGGUCAGACAGAGAUUUGAAGAUGCUAUACUGUUGGCUUUGAAGAUGGACCCAAGAAACGCAAGCAAAUUGUAGAUGCGGGAGAAGGCAAGGAAAUGGAUUCUUCUCUAGCACCCUAAGAACACAGCCCUGCCAACACCUUGAUUUUAGGACUUCUGACUUCUAGAACUGCGAGAUAAGAAACUUGUAUGUUUUAAGGUACCAAGUUUGUGCUAACUUGUUACAACAGCAAUAGGAAACUGAUACAGUCAGUAAUAAAGAUAAUAGUUGGUUUCCUGCAGCUUUCUCCAUUACCUGGAAAAGAAGGGUACAAUUCAGUAGGUCCCCUCAGAGACUAUAGCAAUAUGACUGUGACCUGAUGGAACCUCCACAUCUAGAGAAAAAUGUCCAAUAAACACUCAAACUGUACAGGUCUAUGAAUGAGGAAAGAGGUUGAGUUAAAAUAGAUUUGGAAGAAAUAAAUUAAUAAUUGGUAAUUUAAGCCCGAGGCAUGGAUGAGAUCAAUCAGGGAGAAAAUACAGAAGACAUAAUAAGGAGAGGCAAGGAUAGGGCCCCUGGAGAGCACUAACUUUAAAAGGAGGUGCAGAUGAUCAGAAGCCCAAAAAGAAGUCUGAGGAAGAAUGGCCAGAGAGAGAAAAGGAGAACUAGGUGAGCCUAAUGCCUCUGAAGCCAAGCAAGCAAGAUGGAGAGGGGUCAACAGAGUCAGAGACCACAAAAAGGCCAAGUAUAUCAAGAACUGGAAAGCAUUCACUGGAUUUAGCAACAGAAAAGUGAUUGGUAACCAACAAUAGCAAACUUCAGUGGGAUAGUGGAGAUAGAUACCAAAUCACUGAGAUCUGAAAGGCAGAUCAAUAUAGUGGAUUGGCCUCUAGACUAGUUUGAUGGGAGUUUUGAGAUUCUAGUCUUGAUUCUGGCCAUUAACUAGCUAGAUAACUUUGAACAAAUCCCUCAACUACUCCAGGCUUUGGUUUUCGCAUCUGGCAAAGGAUGAGAUCAAGCUGAGUCUAUGAUUUUCUCAUUAAUUCCUAGAUAAUCCCCCCAGUUUUAUUUUUUUAUUUUUUGUCAUAUCUGAUUCAAUACUUUUAUUUAUUUUUAUUUUUUAUUUUUGAGACAGCAUCUUGCUCUGUUGCCCAGUGUGGAGUGCAGUGGUACAAUCUUGGCUCACUGCAGCCUCAACCCCCGGGCUCAAUCACCCCAAUUUCAUAUCAGACUCACUUGCUUAUAACAGCACACUUCAAAUCCUUCUCAGACCAUUUUCCAACCACUAAGAAUCAGUAUAUUUCAUGCCAGCUUCUGUCCUAGAUACUAUGGCUAUAACACAGUUUUCAAGGAACUCACAAUUUGGAGAGAGAGAGAGAAAUACUAAGUAUGUAACUAGCUGUCAUAGUUCUUUAAAAAAAAAAAAAGAAAAAAAAGUAAGGCCAGGCGCGGUGGCUUAUGCCUGUAAUCCUAGCACUUUGGGAGGCCGAGGCGGGUAGAUCACCUGAGGUCAAGAGUUUGAGAUCAGCCUGACCAAUAUGAUGAAAACCCGUCUCUACUGAAAAUACAAAAAUUAGCCGGGCAUGGUGGCAUAUGCCAUCAUCCCAGCUACUCAGGAGGCUGAGACAGGAGAAUCACUUGAAUCCGGGAGGCAGAGGUUGUGUAGAGCCAAGAUCUCGCCAUUGGACUCCAGCCUGGGCAACAAGAGCAAAACUCUGUCUCAAAAAAAAAAUUAAAAUAAGUAAAUAAAUAAAAAUAAAAAAUAAUAAGAUAGACCUGAUUGUGGUGGCUCAUGCCCCGUAAUCCCAGUGCUUUGGAAGGCCAAAAUGGGAAGAUCACCUGAGGCCAGGAGUUUGAGACCAGCCUGGGCAAUAUAGCCAGACACCCAUCUCUACAAAAAUUUUCUAAAAAUUAGCCAGGUGUGGUGGUGCGCACCUGCAGUUCUAACUACUUGGGAGGCUGAGGCAAGAGGAUUGGGUGAGCCCAGGAGUUUGAGGUUACAGUGAGCUAUUACCAGAUUACAGUGAGCUAUGACUGUGCCAGUGCACUUCAGCCUGGGCAACAGAGCAAGACCCUAAAAGCUAGAUAUAAAUAUAUUGUAAGUAUAAUACAAUAUACUAUAACAGAAUCUGUAUGAAGUGAAAUGAGGGAUAUAUAAAGUGAUACAGAUAAGGGCGCAGUUAGCUCUAUCUAAUGGAAGUCAAGAGUGUUGUACUUACCUACACUGUUAAGUAAACACAGUAUGCCUCAAAAAUGGACACAAAUAUAUUAAGGCAUUUCCAUGGAGGUAAAAAAAGAACAGGAGAAUUGUGCUAAACCAGCGUUGUCACCUAACAUUCCUUCUAGGUAGUUUUGUUGUGAUCUAAAUGAAUAUUUAUAUAUAACUGUUUCUAAACUAAAAUUGGUUAGUUGUUAAAAUGGACACAAAUAAAAGUUAAAUGCAAGAAUAAUUUAUAUUUUUCCAGUAGAUUCAAGAGGAAAUAUUUUUUGUCACUAAUGCCAUGCUUUAAUACAUUUGCUUGUCUAAUCCUCAUGUAUUAUCUUACUUAAUUUUGUAAACAUUAGCUUAUUGUAUAGAUCACUGACAAAGUAUCUGUUUUAGCAGAUAGGGACAAAGUUUAAAUAAUUUGGCCAAGGUCAUAGUAGACCAAGAUUUGGACCCAGCACAAGCAUCCUCUUUCCAGGAAACCUUCCCUCAGGCCCUUAGUUGGUUUAAGUGCCCUCUCUCUGUACUAUUAGCAUAUGCACACACAUUCAUUUUAGCGUUGACUUUAAUAAUAAGGAUGUUUACCAUGUACCAGAUACAUAGUACUUGCACCUAUGUUAUCUAUGUUUAAGUGUUUUGUAGGCAUUAGUUCAUUUAAGCCUCAUAACUGCCCUUUGAAGUAGGUGAUAUUAUUCACAAUAUUUUAUAAAACAGGAAGCCAAGGCAUAGAAAGUUAAGUAAUUACUCAAGGUACAAUUAAUAAGUGAUAAAGCUAGGAUUCGAAUCCAUGCUUUUAACCCCCCAGGCUUCAUACUAUGUACCCUUUCCCUUAUACUGAGGAAUUCUAGAAGGCAUAGUUGACAGGUUGUUGUGUGUGAUAUCACUCUGUGUUCCUCAUAUGAACACAAGAGAAUUUUCUCUCUGAGCCACAAGUCAUGAAAUAUUUGGCUACCCUUGAGUAACUGAUGUGUUUUCUCUUUAUAGGCAAUGUGAAUUAUAUAACUGCCUGUUUUUCACUUUUCACUUUGCCAAGAAGCUCUGAGUAAAUUUGUUGGCUCAGCGUUUGUAAGUGGGUGAAUUGGCCUGCAUAUCUGUAUUCUGUUGCUUUGAAAUUUUUAAAAAUAAAUAGUUGAGAGAAAAAUAAUGUAAAUUUUCUUUAUUUUCCAAAUUGUUGACAAUGUACAAUGAUAAUUUUUAUAAUUAGAAAAAUAAACUUUGUUCUUAAAAGAACGUUUGAAGCUUCAAAUGAUUUCUCAUGCUUUGACUCUGUGAAUAAGAGCUGGUUUCAGGUUAAGUUGCAUGAGUUAAAUAUAGAAUCCAGGUUCAUAUAAAACCAAGACUUCUGUAUGACCUGGAAAGUCCAGAUCAAUAGAAUUGUUCAGACGGAUCAAAAAGUAUUUUAGGUAGCAUAAAAUAGUUGUAGCCCUUCUUGUUUUUAACUUAUGUUUAAGUAAUUUGAAACCACUUUUAGGUUAUUUGGACACAUGCUCCCUCGCUUUAGAAAUCAAAAAACCCAUUAUCUUCCUAUAUGCUGAUGAUAUUUUAUUAUAAUAAACUUUAUGGCUGAUUUUGUUGCUCACCGUUUAUCAGAAGGAAUGGAUCAAGAUCACCUGUUCCAAAACUAAAAUAAUUUUUUAGGGCACAUGUCCUCAAAUUUAAUUGGCUUAGAUCCAGUAACUAAAUACCACGUUAAUUUAUUUACUUAAGGGUAUGUUUUGCAAGUAAUUCUUCCAGGUAGAUUUACUGGCCAGCCACUUUGCUAAAAGCCAUACAUUUCAUGGGAGCAUUAAUUAGAUUUUCCUACCGUCAGAGUGAGCAACUGAUCAUUUCUUCUUUGAAAAAUUUCAAUCCAAAUUUUGAUCAUUCUCCAACAGAGCAUUCUAAUGCCUAAAUGGCCUAGGCAGGUGGGUAAGUACUCUAUACUCAGCCCAGCAGAUUGUUGCUAUGUGGUAUAAGCAUCCAAAGUUGCCAGAUUUGAAAUCUGUUGACCUCUAAAUAUUGGUAACUAAUGGGAAUUUUUUUUAAAGAAAAGAAAAACAUGACUUGUCUGUGAGUUCGCAGACCUCUUGCUCUAUUGGAUGGAACUUGAUGGUCUUGAACACUUAUUUUUUUUAUUUUUGAAGUGUUGUUUUUUUAAGGAAAAUCCUAGAUUGCCUGCAGGGGCUCUCUCUAUUCACUACCAUAUGGAGAGGAAUGUUCCUAUUUAGGUGAGAAUCUUAAUAGGGUGACUCACUCUUCACAAAAGGCUGUCAGCCCUCUACCAUCUGCUUUUUAGAUUACUGAAUUCUAAACAGUAUGUAUCUGCCUUUAGUCAGCCACACAAUAUUAGCUGGUCCAUCAGGACACUGCAUACCUGACCAUAUUGUCCUGAGCACACACACAGAAACUUUCCUCAUCCACCACCAAGAGUGUUUUCAUGGCUUGUAUUUUGAGUAUUGUGUCUUCUGCAUAUGUUAAGCAAUUCUGGAAGAGACAACUCCACAGAGCCCACCAGUGCAUUGUGUGGGCAAAUAGGCAAAGCUUCCCCUCUGCCCUCUGAAGCUGUGCUGAAAAUGAACUGACAAUAUGCAGAUUAGGAGAAAAGGGUAUGCAAAUUUAUUAACGUGCAUAAGCACAGGGGAAUCACAGGAGAAUGAUUAUCCAGUAACACAACGAGGUCCAGAUGCUUAUAUACCCUUAAUAAGAGAAGGAGAGAUGGGGGAGAUGUGGUAAUUUUAAGGGACAGUAAGUUAUUUUUAGGAGGAAUAAAUGGCUCCAAUGCUCAGGCAAUGGUUAGUAAAUGAUUCUCUUUGGGAAUUGAGUGGGAAGGGAAAGUGGAUGAUAGUUUGGGACAAAGUUUGGGCUCUACAUGUGGUGUUUAAUUUUCAGUCUCUUCCUCUGAUGUGAGGUUUAAUCUCUAGUUAAUUUCAGGGAGGGAAUCAAAGGCAAUUGUGUUCCUCUUUGAUGGGUCCAAUUUAUAGGUAUAUAAGGGAACUAAAGAGAAGAGCCUCAUCCUGAGCUUUAGGAGAGAUAAGAUUGGAGAUGGGAUGUGGGUGAAGAGGUGUCAGAUUUUGAAGCUGCUUCUUUAGUACUUCAAAGUGCCAUAUAUUGGGGUAUCAUCUUCUAAGCUCCAAUAGCUUUUACUAUAGGAUUGUUACUGUGCACUUGAUCACAUGAGAAUUUUCUUUCAGAGCCAGGUAUCAUGAAGAGCUUGGCUACUCUUGAAUAACUGAUGUGUCUUGCUUACAGCAAGUGAAUUGCAUAGCUGGAUAUGUGUUCCUUUUCACCUUAGCUGCCAUGAAGCUCUGAGUCAAAGUGUGGCUCCAUUUUAGUGCCUGAGUAGAAACCUGUGGUCUGUAUAUCUGCAUUCUAAUUUGUUUUCUACUGGUACUGAACCUUGUACUUAAGUUUGGGUUUUCUCCUUCUCUGGUUUAUCUAUAAUUUCCUUUUGCGACGGAAUCUCACUCUAUUGCCUGGGCUGGCUGGAGUGCAAUGGCGAAUCUCAGCUCACUGCAACCUCCGCCUGCCGGGUUCACGCAGUUCUCCUGCCUCAGCCUCCCAAGUAGCUGGGAUUACAGGUGCAUACCACCACGCCUGGCUAAUUUUUUGUAUUUUUAGUAGAGAUGGGGUUUCACUAUGUUGGCCAGACUGGUCUUGAACUCCUGACCUCAUGAUCCACCCACCUCGGCAUCCCAAAGUGCUGGGAUUAUAAGGGUGAGCCACUGCACCCAGCCGGCUUACCUAUAAUUUUCUACAUUCUGUUUGUAAUUUCACUAGCCACUUCAAGUUGUUUGUGAAAAAACUAGGAAAAUGAAUGGUAAAUACACUUAUGAUGACUAUCUUAUUCCUAGUCCCUUUCCCUCACUUCAGGUAAAAGUUAAAACUUAUACACCUGGCCAGGCACAGUGACUCAUACCUGUAAUCCCAGGACUUUGGGAGGCCAAGGCAGGCAGAUCAACUUGAGGCCAGGAGUUUGAGACCAGCCUGGCCAACAUGGUGAAACCCCGUCUCUACUAAAAAUACAAAAAUGAGACAGGCAUGGUGGUGUGUACCUGUAAUCCCAGCUACUUGGGAGGCUGAGGCACGAGAAUUGCUUGAGCCUGGGAAGCAGAGGAUGCAGUGAGCUGAGAUUGUGCCACUGCAUUCCAGCCUGGGUGACACAGCGAGACUCUUCUCAAAAAAAAAAAAAAAAAAAAAAAAAAAACGUAUACACCCUUCUCUGCUAAGAGUAUAUCUUGUUUAUGAGUUCUCUAGCAUUUUACAUAAGAUAAAUAGAGCUAAAACGAUGAAUUGUCUUUUAAUGUUAUUGCAGCUCUGCAGCAUGUCAUUCUCUUAACUUUGCUUUUUUUUUUUUUUUCCUGAGGGAGAUGGAUAGGUGAAGUAAUGGUUGACAAGCAUAAGUGGGAAGCUUCAAGUCCCAGGUUCUCCCAUCAAAUCAUUUUCUCACAAUCUUGCUCAGUAUUCUCUUCUAGUAGGCCAGAAUUUGAAGGAUUAGCUCUCUGUAUAUCUAAUCUAAAUCCUACUCCUUGUUUUAAACUCUUUGAUUUCAAAUAUUAAUGAUCUGGUACUAUUCACUAGUGUAUCUAUUUCCACAUACUUUCUUUAACUGAAGGUACAUGGAAGAUUCUAAGCAGGAUUCAUUGUUGUCUUAAUACAUCUUUUAUAUUUGCUAAGUUGAAGGCAGAAAGGUAACUGAGUGCUAUGACUAUUCUUAGGCAUUGUCAUCAACACCAAUGUGUCUAUGAUUUAAUAUUUUAAUACUGUACUUACCUUGAGAACUGGACAGUAAAGUUGCUUUGUAAAUGUAAGGUAAACAUUUCAAAUAUACUAUAAUCUUUGUAGUCAUAUUUUGUAUUUUUUCAUUGCUUAAUAUACCCUGAGCCAAAAACAAAAAAAAUAGCCUAGGCUAUUUUCUACUUCAAUUUUCAUUUACUUGGCUACUUUGUGCCAGGCACAGAGGGGAUACAGAGAUGGAGGAUAUCGUUUCUGAUCUAAAGGAGCUAACAGUCUAGAACUGCACUGUCCAGUAUGGUAGCCUCUAAUCACAUGUGGCCAUUUUAAUUUAAAUUAAAAAUCCAGUUUCUCGGUCAUACUAGCCAUAUUUCAAGAAGCCAAUAGUGGGCGGGCACUGUGGCUCACACCUGUAAUCCCAGCACUUUGAGAAGCCGAGGCCGUAGAAUUGCUUGAGCCCAGGAGUUCGAGAUAAGCCUGGCAAAAUAGUGAAACCCCAUGUCUGCAAACAUAAAUAAAUAAAUAAAUAAAUAAUAGCGGGGCACGGUAGUGUAUGCCUCUAGUCCAUGCUACUUAGAAGGCUGAGGCAGGAGAAUCGCUUGAGCCCAGGAAUUUGAGGCUGCAGUGAGCCAAGAUCUCACCAUUGCACUCCAGCCCAACCAACAGAGGGAGACCCCAUCUCAAAAAAAAAAAAAAGAAAAAAAAUUGUCAAUAGCUACUGUAUUGGACAGUGCAUGUAUACAACAUUUCUAUUAUUGCAGAAAGUACUUUUGGAUUGUGUUGGUCUAAAACUCAUAUAAGACUCAGACAUGCAAAGUAGGGCAAGGCAAUUUCAGACAGAAAGAUCGUGUGUGAAGUAUGCAUAAGAAUGACUUGGGGGGCAUGUUGAUUCCUGCUGCCAGAUAUUCUCAUUUAAGGGGUAGCAGGAGAGCCUGUGUUUUUAACAAAUACCCCAGGUGAUUCUGAUGCGGAAGGUGUGUGGACUACACAGAAAAAUCAUGUAGGGUAAGUGGCAAUCGCCUAAUAGAAUGAUUCUGAACUUCCUACUUAAAUGGCAUCUGGUGCUUGAGCCAAUCUAAUUUUGACUUAGCCAGAUAAGAGUGCAGUGAAUACAUUUGUACCUCAAGUGUUGUAGAGCAUUUUGUACUCUUUAGGUGUCUAAAGACAUAUCAAAGGUUAUAGGUGUCUUGAAUUUGUCAUGUACAUUUUGAAUACUUUAAAAGGAUGUGUUUAGGUCAGGAUAGGCUAGGUUAUGCAACAGUAAAAACCCCAAAAACAUCAAUGUAUUUUUCCAAAAGGGAAAGAGAGAACUCUAGAGGAUCUCACACUACCAAGAGUCCAGAAAAGACAGACAUCACUUCUCACAAGUCAUGUCAAAACUCAACACAGAACCAACCCUAAGGAAGCCAGAAAGUGCAGUCCUACCAUGUGUUCAAAAGAGAAACAGAACCAGAUAAGGGUGAGCAGCACCUAUGAUUACCACGUGAUGGUAAAGGAAAUAAUGGUGAUCGUGCUGCAAGACAGAUGAGACUUCCAGACACACAUAGUGGUGGUGAGUGGCAGAGAUGUGUAGGACUAGGAUGAGUUUUAGAGAAAUUCUUGACUGAGAGAAAGAAGCCAGCAUGAAAUGACGAAGAACUGAAAGUUGAGUUAGAGUGUUUUGUAGACAAACACCGUUGACUACCUCUCUCUUUAAGACAAAGGCUUGAUCCUGAAAGGGAUCUUAAUCUAAGGUUUUGGGUUUUGUUUUGAGACAGGGUCUUGCUGUGUCACCCAGGUCAGAGUGCAGUAGUGCAAUCACAGCUCACUGCAACCUCAACCCUCUGGGCUCAAGCAAUCCUCCUGCCUCAGCCUCCCGAGUAGCUGGGGCUGCAGGCAUGCACCACUGUGCCCAGCUAAUUUCUUUUAAAUUAUUAUUUGUAGAGAUGAAGUCUCGUUCUGUUGCCCAAGCUGGUCUGGAACUCCUGGGCUCAAGCAAUCCUCCUGCCUCUGCCUCCCAAAGUGCUGAGAUGAUAGGCAUGAGCCACCAUGCCCAGCCUGAAGCUUUGGGUUCUUGAGAGGAUGAUGUAAAAUAUUAUGAUAUAGGCAAAGGGACACAUCUGUAAGCUGACAGUGCUAUGUCAGAGAAGGAUCAAAGAGCCAGCAGUCUCAGAAGAGUCCUGCUUCUGUCUAAUCUGGGGAGAAGACUGUUCAGUCCAAUGCUACCUGAAGGGCCCCGGGCAGUAGACCCUGGUGUAGAAGGAGAAAAGUAGCUCCAGGAGAAGCCAUUUAAUUCCACUGAUAGCAGGAGUCAGCUAUUCUGGAUUUUGGUGGUUUUGUUUUGUUUUGUUUUGUUGUGUUUUGGUCUUGGUUUACUUUCUUCAAGCUAUUGAAUGCCCCUAUAUAUGACUAUGAUUUUUCUAAUGUCUGCACACAUCAGUGUGUGUAUCUAAACUGUAUAACUCAUAAAUAUUCAGUGACUCACCUUGUAAAAGGAUUUCAGUCUCUUGCUCUAGUGAAGCAAGAUCAUGUGAACACUAAUCUUGACCAGCGAAAUGUAAAUGAAACUAAUGUGUAUUAGUUCUAGCUGAAGUUUUUAUGCUCUCUGUUCCUCUGCCAAGAUGACCAACAGUGUUCCAGAAAAAAAACUGCCAUUGAUUUUAGCUGAGACCCUCAGAGGCCUGUGUAGUGUGAGGAGAAAUAAAUCUUUGUUGUUGUAAGCCACUGAUUUCGGGGAUCAUUGUUACUGUAGCAUAACCCAGCCCAUACUAACUGAUAUUAUGUGGAUUCUGUCACCAUCUGUGCAGAGUAGGCCAUUGAGAUACAUCAGGCAAUGAUGGAUUAGAAUGAAAAAUAAAGGAGAAAUGUAUGUUCCAAAAUACUGUUUUAUAAUGAUAAAAAGCCAAAUGAAGAAGAUAUAAUUGGGCCAGGCAUGGUGGUUCAUGCCUGUAAACCCAGCACUUUGGAAGGCCAAGGUGGGCAGAUCACCUGAGGUCAGGAGUUGGAGACCAGCCUGGCCAACAUGGAGAAACCCUGUCUCUACUAAAAAUACAAAAAUUAGCCAGGCGUGGUGGCACGCGCCUGUAAUCCCAGCUACUUGGGAGGCUCAGGCCGGAGAAUCGCUUGAACCCAGGAGGUGGAGGUUUCAGUGAGCCAAGAUCACGCUAUUGCACUCCAGCCUGAGCAACAAGAGUGAAACUCCGACUCAAAAAAAUAUAUAUAUAGUUGUUAUAAAUCUCUAUACAUCAAGCAGUUUAGUAGCAAACUACAUAAGGCAAAACCUUUUAAAAAAUACAAGGAGAUUUUCAUAAAACUAUAAUUUUAUUAGAAGGCUUAAUACGUGUUUCUAAACUUUGAUGUACCAAAUGACUAAUAAUAAUAACAAGGCUAUGGAGGAUUUUAAUUAAACCCUCAACGAGCUUGAUAUAAUAGUUUUGAAUAGAACUUAGUAUCUUAUAAUAGAAAAUACAACUAUUCUUGUCCAAGGAACAUUCACAAAAAUCAAUCAUACACUUGUUCACAAAGAAAAUUUUAAAAUGGUAAACUUCAAAAAGAAGAAAUGAUACAGUGUAUGUUCUCUAGCCACAAUGAAAUUAGAACUAAUAUUAAAAGAUUGCAAAAUAAAAAUUAUCUUGAGAUAGAGGAAAUAUAAAUUGCAAUUAUUUUCUUUUAACUUUUAGGUUUGGGGUGCAUGUGCAGGUUUGUUCCAUGGGUAAACUUGUCUCACAGGGGUUUGUUGUACAGAUUAUUUCAUCACCCAGGUAUUAAGCCCAACACCCAAUAGUUAUCUUUUCUGGUCCUAUUUUUUUUAAUUACAGAAGAAUAGCAAUGGGCACUUUACAUAUCAAAAGCUGUCUUGUGUAACCAAAACUAUUCUCAGAGGAAAAAAAUAAUAAAUUAACUUUUGAGACCAAGCAUGGUGGCUCACACCUGUAAUCCCAGCACUUUGGGAGGCCGAGGCUGGUGGAUCACCUGAGGUCAGGAGUUCGAGACCAGCCUGGCCAACACGGUGAAACCCUGUCUCUACUAAAAAUACAAAAAAAAAAAAAAAAUCAGCCGGCGUGGUGGCACAUGCCUGUAUCCCAACUAUUUGGGAGGCUGAGGCACGAGAAUCAUUUGAACCCAGGAGGCAGAGGUUGCAGUCAGCCAAGAUCGUGCCACUGCACUCCAGCCUGGGCAACAGAGGGAGACUCCAUUUCAAAAAAAAGUACUUUUGAGAUUUAAAAAAAAAAUUGUAAAUAAGUGAAUUAAUCAUUCCACUUAGAAAAAAGAAGGGAGGUCGGACACAGUGGCUCAUGCCUGUAAUCCCAGCACUUUGGGAGGCCGAGGCGGGCGGAUCACCUGAGCUCAGGAGUUCAAGACCAGCCUGGACAACAUGUUGAAACCCCGUCUCUACUAAAAAUACAAAAAAUUAGCCGAGCGUGGUGGUUCAUUCCUGUAAUCCCAGCUACUCAGGAGGCUGAGGCAGGAGAAUUGCUUGAACCCAGGAGGCGGAGGUUGCAGUGAGCCAAGAUCGCGCCACUGCACUCCAGCCUGGGUGGCAGAGCGAGACUUUGUCUCAAAAAAAAAAAAAAAGAAGAAGGGAAACUGAGAAACUGGGGAUGGAGGUGGAUAUAGAAGUGUACCAGUUAGUUAUGGCUACAAAAAUGCUGCAUAACGAACACACACAAUCUCAGUGGUAUACAGCGAUAAGCAUUUAUUUCUUGCUCAUGCUGAUCAGCUAAGAUCCCUGUGCUUCAACUGUGGAACACUCUGGAGUCCAGGUGGGAAGGGCAGUGGCUCACUGGAGCAUGGUUUUCUCAUGGUGACGGCAGCAGUGCAAGAGCACAAGCCUGACCACAGAAACAUGUCGGGUCUCUGCCCAGGUCACAUCUGCUAACAUCCUCAGAUCCUACCACUCUCUUUCUCACUCACUCCACUGUAAUUGCUUUGGCCUCUUUGCUCUUCCUGCUGCUCUCCCUGUGCCACCACGCCAGCUGAUUUUUUUUUUUUUUUUUUGUAUUUUUAGUAGAGACAGAGUGCCCUCCCCUAGCACAUUCAUUCCCAUGGCUCACUACCUCACUUCAGGUUUCAGCGUCAAUGUCUUUUGUCAAUGAGGUCUUUUCUGACCAACCUGUAUAAAAUAGCAACUUUACCUGUAUUCCACCUUUCUCCAUAGCAGCAACUAUCAACAGCAACUUAUAUCUACACACAUACAUGUAUACUUGUUUAUUUAUUGGCUUCUCCACUAGAAUGUAAGCUCUGUGAAUUUAGCACUUUGAUUUGCUCACUGCUGUUUCCCCAGCACCUUUAGCAGUAACUGGCAAAUAGUAGAACCUAAAUAAAAAUGUAUUAAAUGAAGAAGUGAGAAACCAUUUCAUACCAAUCAGAUUGCAAAAAGUAAAGUUUGAUCCCUCCUGUUGUUAAGUUUGUGGAGCAACUUAACUCUUCAACACUGCUAGUAGACAUGUAUAGUACAAUAGUAUUAUCAGUGUUUCAGAGACUGCUCAUUUACUUCCAAUAUCAGUUUUCCCUUUCUUCCUUAGUAAUAGAAUCCACUAUUUUUUGUAGAGCAUUUAACCACCCAGAAUAAAGAUGACACAUCCCAGUCUCUCUUGCAGCUAGGUGUGAUCAGGUGACUAAGUGCUGGCCAACAGUAUAUACUUGGAAGUCUUUCUUCUCCUCUUCUCCCUUCUUGCUGGCUGGAAUGUGUAUGUGAUGAGUGAAGUUUGAACAUCCAUAUUGCACUACAAGAUGAAGACCGCAUGCUAAAAAUGGUGGAGCAGCAAGACGGAAGUCUCCUGUAUCCCUGAUGAUUUUGUGAAGCCACCACUCCACCCUUGCACUGCCUAGCUCUGGAUUUAUUUUAUACAGUGCUACUCCAGUGUGGUGGUCCUCACAGUGUGGUCCUGGACCAGCAGCAUCAGCAUCACUUAGCAACUUGUUGGAAAUGCAAGUUUCUGCUAAAUCAGAAACUCUGAGUAGAGAUCUACUACUUUCUGAAUCAGAAACUCUUGGAGUGAGGCCCAGGAAUCUGUGUAACAAGCCGUUCCUGUGAUUCUUUUUUCCCCCCUAGCAACUGUGAGAUGUAAGUUGCCUGUUUAAAAUGUGUAGUUUAGUGGUUUUUAGUAUUUCAGAGAGUUGUGCAAACAUCACCACAAAAAGCAAUCUCAUUCCUGCUGUCAGUAUUCCUCAUUCCCCCAUACCACCAUCCCCAUCCCCAGGCAACACCUAAUCUGCUUUCUGUCUCUACAGAUUUGCCUAUUCUAGACAUUUCAUAGAAAAUGGAAUCAUACACCAUGCAGUCCUUUGUGGCAUCUUUCACUAAGCGUAAUGUUUUCCUCUGUAAAUUCUUAUAUGCUGAAGUCUGAGAACUGCUGUCCUAGGGUAGAAGUGGAAAGGAAGUAGUCAGAGAGAGUGUGAAAAACCAAGAGUAUGAAAAAAGAAGAAUGCCCCGAUCAUGAGAUAGAGAAAAGAAAUGACACCAGAAGGACAUUAACAGCAAAAGGUAAAAAGCAGUUUUUUCCAUGUGGGAAAAUAAGCUACCAGCCUUGCUCCCAAAGUCCAGGAAGACUGACACUGAGGCCAAAUAUAAUUAUAUAUUAUAUUCAUGUUUUGCUCUGCCUAUAUUAUAGCUUUAAUCUUUUUAUCUCCUUAAAUAAUAAUCAAACAGAUGAUAGUUAAAGCCAUGAGAGUAGGUGAAACUGUCCCAGGAGGAAGAUAUUACAGAAAAGAAAAGGCUACUGCUGAGGACAGAAUAUUGGAGGAAUGUCUUUCAUUCCUAUGUUGCAGUUUUCAAAAUGGUUCAUGCCCACUUUCUCCCUUGAAUCUAUCCGUAACCCUGUUAGGAAGUAAAGUGAGUAUCACUAUCUGGACUCCUUAUUUAAGACGUGAUUUCUCACACGGAUAUAAUUUGCUCAGGGUGUCAUGUUGAGUGGUUGAGUUGAGGUUUCUUCUCCACUCAGUAUUUCUCAUCUGUAUUUAAAGGGAAGAGGAAGAAAUGGAGACAGAAGGGCCGGUCAGGAAGGUAGGAGUAGAACUAGGUGGGUACAGUUUCAUGGAAGCAAAGGGAGGAGUGUUUCAAGGAAGGCCAUCUUGUUUGCUCCCUUGAAUUAAAAAAAAAAAUUCUUCUAAUGAACAGAGUGUGUUCUUUGUUGAGUGACCAAUCAUACUGUGCAGUAAAGAGGUAUCGACGUGAACAACCCGGGGAGAACAUGCUUUCUCUUGGUUCUAACCUACAAAGUCCUCCUCUUGGCAUUAGUUUUCCAUUUAUCAUAGGUCUCUUAAAAAAAAAACAACUUUUGUUUUUAAUUGAAGUCUAACAGACAUAGAAUGAGGUACACAAAUAAUUAUAUAGCUUAUUGGAUUUUCGCAAUCCAGGUCAAGAAAUAGAACAUGACCAGCACUCCAGAAAACCCCUAUUCUCUCUCCCAGUUACUAUCUUUCUCUCUUCCCCAAAUAUAGCUGUUUUCCUGACUUCCAAAUAUAAUGGAUUAUUUUGAGAAGAGGGCAUGCCAGAGUGGAUGGUCUAUGUGUGGCCAGAAAACCUAUCAGUUGACUGUGUCCCUCAGAAAUGCCUGUAAGACAUUUCAUUUACCAAAACAAUAAAGAGUGCCAGUGAUGGCACUGGUGUCAUUGGAAACUCAGUGGUUGCUCUGUACUCCAGAGCUGAUGGCAAAACAUGCUGUUGCAGAACUGAGCUGCCUGACAGUAAUGGGGAUGAAAGGUCUUGUAAUAAUAGAGGGCAUGCACUUAGCCUUCAGAAAUAAGGUGAGUGCAAUUAUUAUAAUGAGCAGCAAGGUCAGGGUGGCAGUGGUGAGGAGAGGAGGAUCAUCUGGAGAGAGCUAUGGAGAAGAUUAAUAGAAUAUGGAUUCCCUAGGGGGAAGUAGAUGGACAGCAAAAAAAAGUAUUGCUCAAUCUAUAAACCUGUGAAUUAUGUCAAGUAAAAUAAAUGUAUUACUCAAUCUGUACAAUCAAAAGAAAUCAAAGAUAGAUAAUGAAAAAAUGAAAAGGCUAGUGCCAUUGACCCAAUAUUUUAAAAAAUCACAACUUCUUGCCUAGUUCCCAAGCAUGAGCCUGUUUUCAGACCCAGAAUCUACUGACUGAGUGAGAGGCCAGGUUAACAGAAAGAAUGACCCUGCAACACCAUAGAAGUCAUAUCAGUCACGACUUCCCCCCAAUCAUUCCCCAGAGGAACUACAGUCAUUUACUAGGGUAGCCAUACGUUGGUGAAAGAGGAAUACUCAGUAUUUUGAAGACUGUUGGACACAAGGCUCAAGUUGUCAUUGAUACCUGGGAACCCGAAGCAUCAUCAUGGCCCCUGGGGCUUAAGGGAGUCAGAUAAUAAAUGGAGUCCUGGCCCAGGGCCAGUUCACAUACCCAGCCAGUGGUCAUUUCACUCAUCUUCUGCUAUAUAAUUGGAACCCACUUUAUAGUUGACAGAACACCCAUGUUGUUUCCUUGAACUGGGGGGUAAGAGCUAUCCUAGUGGCGUAGGUUAUGUAGAAAUUUCUGCAACAUACCCCACUCUGGCCAAAAUAAUAAAUAAAAAAUCAGUAUCAGAUCCUGGGAGGAAUGGCAAAAAUUAAUACCAGCCUUAAAGAUGUAAGGGAUGCAUGGGUGGUGAACCCCGUCUUAUCUCCAUAUAAUUCAGCAGUCUGGCCUACAUAAACACCAAGUCGAUCCUGUAAGAUAACUGUGUUCUACUGCAAGUUCCACAAGUAGUUGCCCAGUUACAGAUGCCCUACCAGAUGUGGAAUCUUUGUUUAAGCAGAUUAACACAGCUUCAGUUAUACAUUGUGAAGCCAUUUGAUCUAAAUGUAUUUUUCCAGAGGACUAGAAGCUAGUUUGCAUGUUCAUGGGAUGGACAAGAUGAUACAUUUACUAUCUUGUUCUGAGGCUAUGGUGACUUUCGCCCUGUGUCAUAGUUUGAAGUGAUCCGGACCACCUGGACAUUCUGUAGAAUACCACAUUAAUUCACUCUAUCAAUGACACUAUGAUCACUGAAUUAGAUGAGCAAGAAAUGGCAAAUAUAUUUAAGGUCUUUGUAAGACACAGGAACACUAAGAAGCAUGAAUAAAACACACAAAGAUUUAGGGACCCAACAUAUCACUGAUGGUUUUAGGAAUUCCAGGGUCUAUGGUAUGACAGGUCAUCCCCUCCAAGGCAGAGGAGAGGCUGGGCACAGUGGCUCACACAUGUAACCCCAACACUUUGGGAGGCUGAGGUGGGCAGAUUGCUUGAGCCCAGGAGUUUGAAAACAGCCUGGGUAACAUGGUGAGACCCUGUCUCUACAAAAAAUACAAAAAUUAGCCGGGUGUGGUGGCUUGCACCUGCAGCCCCAGCUACUUGGGAGGCAGAGGUGGGAGGAUUGCUUGAGCCUGCAAGAUCAAGGCUGCAGUGAGCCAUGAUUGUGCCAUGGCACUCCAGCCUGGGUGACAGAGUAAGACCCUGUCUCAAAAACAAACUAACAAAAAAUGACAACAAUAACAACAAUGGAAAAAACAAAGCAUAUCUCAUACUUGGGGAUACUGCUCUGACUCAUUUAUUGAGUACCUCACAAGGCUGCCAGCUGAGUUCAGGCCAAAGUAGGAACAGGCAAUGCUGCAGGUAAGGGCGGCAGCCCCACUGCCUCCUAAUGAUAAGGAUCACUUACUUCUUUCAGAAUGGUGAUUCUUCUUGUUGCUUGAAGUAGCAGGGCAGCAAUCAUAGCUUAAAAAUUAAUAGUACUCAUUAUAUUGGUUCCCUUUGGGAACCAGGACCUCUAGACAAGCAGAGCCCAGAGUUGUGGGGCUGGGAAGUACACAGGCCCUGAGUGGAUAACUGGGAGCAAUGUUGAAAAGGGGGUUACUCGUGUUUCCAACCCUUGGUUUCUGAACCCAUGUAUAAUACCUUUUGGGAAUAUGGCACUAAUAAUGAUCAUUUAUUUAGGGUAUUUAAUGUGUCCUGGAGGAUAGCACCUCAUCAUCACAGAGUAUGGUCUCCAAGAUGGCACCUCAGCUGUACCUUGAAAAGACCAGCAGCUUCUGGGUGGUGCAGCAUGUGGUAGGCCUAGUGGAUCCCAUGGUCAUGUACGCAUUACCAUUAGGUUGGGGCAAAGGUAAUUGCGGUUUUUUCCAUUGAAAGUAAUGGCAAAAACCUUAAUUACCUUUGCACCAAGCUAAUACAUCUUCUUUUUGUAAAAUGGGCCUCUCGGUCUAAUGAGACAUUGUGUAAAAUCUUGUGUUGCUAAGGAUCAAAAACUCUCUAGGCCCUUGGACACUCAUGCUAGCUGAGGUCCCGUGGUCAGAAAGGUAAGCACAUACCCAGAAUACAUGCUGAUUCCAGUCAAGAUGCAUUACUGCCCCUAACAGAUGGAGAUGGCUCAAUGAAAUCAACCUGCCACCAAGUCGCUGAUUGUUUUCCUCAAGGUACGGUGUCAUAGCAGGGGCUCAGCACUGGUCUCUGCUGCUGACAGGUCGGCAGAGUUGAGUGGCAGUAGCUUGGAAAGUGAGAGCCAAUGCUAUGGGACCCAUGAAUGGCUUUCGUCUCUGCCACUGUGACCAGUUCAUUUGUGUUGUCCAAAACUGAUGGCUUAUGACAGAGGUUGGCUGGUGUGAACUGGCCAGGUUAUCUGUCUUCUUGGUUGUUUAAUGCAUCUUCUAUGGUGGAUGCACAGUGGCCAGUUAGUAAUACGCUUAGCAUUCUUCAGUCUUAGUAUCCAUUUAGGUCUUGGUAUUCCUAUGCUCAAUUUUGAUGGCAAAUGGACAAAUGUAGGAACCCUGGCUUGCCUUGGAGAGACAUGGUGCCAGGGGCUUGACCCUCCAGAAAUGACAGUCUGGAUCACUCCAUCAGGUGAGCUAUGCAGACUAGUGUAGAUGUUAGCCAAGGACGAAGAGAAUCUAUAGUGGCAGUAGAAGAGAUAGAUGAUGUGUAUCGGUUGUGGUCACAAAAUCAGCUGCAGAAGUAAGGUCAGUAGUUAAUUCCAUUUAACCUUUCCCUUACAGUAAGUUUCUCUAGAAAAAAAGAUCAAUCAGAAUCCUAGAGGAAUGGCUUCCAGAUAGAUUAAACUUAUUAUAUAAAGUAAGGAUCUGAGUGGUGCAAGGGGUACACUCUAUUGUUGGCUGUGGUGAGCUUUCCAGAUCUCUGUUUCAGGACCAAGAUACCCACUCCUGCAACUACUGGAAGUGUUGCCUGCUGAUAGCUUAUAACUGAGUCUUUCCCCAGGAAUUUUCCUUAGUGGAAGAGAGCUGCAUCAUCCAAGGUUAGAUUCCCUUGUUUGCAUCUAAUGACUGUUUAGCAUAGGGGUACACACGCCAAGGAUGGUCCCCUUGCCUCAAACUGCAGUCUCUCUAAAAGGCCAUUGGAAUUGGCUGAGACCUCUGUUGCAACUGCAUUACAGUUAAAUCUCUCCUUCUGCUCAAUUGUGCUUGCUUUAUUUCCUUACAGGUGUUGUUCCUGAAAGCACUCCCCCAUAAAACACCUGCAUGUGAAUCUCCAUCUUGAAGCCUGUUUCCUGGGAACCUGCCUAUAGCAUUGUCCUUUACCUAUUUCUCUGCAGUGCUACCUUUGUUUUAUUUUUAUUUAUUUAUUUAUUUAUUUAUUUUGAGAUAGGGUCUCACUCUGUCACCCAGGCUGGAUGCAGUGGUGUGGUAUCAGCUCACUGCAACCUGCACCUCCCAAGUUCAAGUGAUUCUCGUGCCUUAGCCUUCCGAGUAGCUGAGGCUACAGGCUUGUGCCACCACUCCAGCUAAUUUUGUAUUUUUAGUAGAGACAGGGUUUCGCUGUGUUGGCCAGGCGGGUCUCAAACUCCUGGACUCAAGUGAUCCACCUGCCUCGGCCUCCCAAAGUGCUGGGCUUACAGGCGUGAGCUGCCAUGCCUGGACUGCCUUGUUUUAAAUCUUUGUUGUACACAGAUUAUAUGAAGAUCUGUUCCUGAACUUUAUAUUCUGUCCCUUUGAUCUAUUUGUCAAUACCACCCUGCCUUAAUUAUUGUAAUGUCAUGAUAAGUCUUGAUAUCUGGCAGAGAAAGUUAUCCAAUUUGCUUGAUCAGUUCCAAUUUGCAGAUCAGAUGUGAUCCAAUUUGCUUUGAUCAGACCAAAAGGACUAUUUUGGUCCUUUGCAUUUCCAUAUACAUUUUAGAAUCAGCUUGUUAGUUCCCAUAAAAAUCUUUCUGUAAGUUUGAUUGGAAUUUCAUUCAGUCUAAAGAUAGAUUUUUGGAGAAUUUACCUCCUGUUAACUUCCAAUUUAUAAAAAUGAUAUGUCCCUCCAUUCCUUUAGGUCUUUAAUUUCUGUCAUUACAGUUUUACAGUUCUGUAGUUUAUAGAGGUCUUGCACAUCUUGUUAGAUUUAUUCCUAGGUAUUUGACAUUUAGAUGCUGUUUUAAAUUGAUUUUUUUUUUUUUUGAGAUGGAGUCUUGCUGUGUUGCUCAGGCUGGAGUGCAGUGGUGUGAUCUCGGCUCACUGCAACCUCCACCUCCUGGGUUCAAGCGAUUUUUCUGCCUCAGCCUCUGAGGUAGCUGGGAUUACAGGUACGUUCCACCAUGCCCAGCUAAUUUUUGUAUUUUUAGUAGAGAUGGGGGUUUCACCAUAUUGGCCAGGCUGGUCUCGAACUCCUGACCUCAAGUGAGGAGGCGGUCUUGCCUCGGCCUCCCAAAGUGCUGGGAUUACAGGUGUGAGCCACCAUGCCUGGCCAUGGAAUUAUUUUUAAUUUUUUUUAUUUUGAGAAGGAGUCUUGCUCUGUUGCUCAGGCUGGAGUGCAGUGGGGUGAUCUUGGCUCACUGCAACCUUCGCCUCCUGAGUUCAAGUGAUUCUGUCUCAGCCUCCUUUGUAGCUGGGAUUAUAGACAUGCGCCACCAUGCCCAGCUAAUUUUUGUAGUUAUAGUAGAGAUGGGGUUUCACCAUGUUGGCCAGGCUGGUCUCGAACCCCUGACCU